This 292-nucleotide ribosomal RNA is filed under the name uncultured Acinetobacter sp. Its description in RNAcentral is "partial 16S ribosomal RNA". It matches the Rfam family "Bacterial small subunit ribosomal RNA", at positions 505 to 796 of the family's 1533-position model. Lineage: Bacteria; Pseudomonadati; Pseudomonadota; Gammaproteobacteria; Moraxellales; Moraxellaceae. The record is from RNAcentral.
GUGUCAGCAGCCGCGGUAAUACAGAGGGUGCGAGCGUUAAUCGGAUUUACUGGGCGUGAAGCGUGCGUAGGCGGCUUAUUAAGUCGGAUGUGAAAUCCCCGAGCUUAACUUGGGAAUUGCAUUCGAUACUGGUGAGCUAGAGUAUGGGAGAGGAUGGUAGAAUUCCAGGUGUAGCGGUGAAAUGCGUAGAGAUCUGGAGGAAUACCGAUGGCGAAGGCAGCCAUCUGGCCUAAUACUGACGCUGAGGUACGAAAGCAUGGGGAGCAAACAGGAUUAGAAACCCUCGUAGUCC